Molecule: ribosomal RNA, 367 nt
Filed under: uncultured Actinomycetes bacterium
Lineage: Bacteria; Bacillati; Actinomycetota; Actinomycetes
Description: bacterial SSU rRNA
Rfam family: Bacterial small subunit ribosomal RNA
Source: RNAcentral
GGCAGGCCUAACACAUGCAAGUCGAACGAUGAAGCGGAGCUUGCUCUGGUGGAUUAGUGGCGAACGGGUGAGUAACACGUGAGCAACCUGCCCCUGACUCUGGGAUAACAGCCGGAAACGGCUGCUAAUACCGGAUAUGCACCAUGAACGCAUGUUCUGUGGUGGGAAAGAUUUUUCGGUUGGGGAUGGGCUCGCGGCCUAUCAGCUUGUUGGUGAGGUAAUGGCUCACCAAGGCGUCGACGGGUAGCCGGCCUGAGAGGGUGACCGGCCACACUGGGASUGAGACACGGCCCAGACUCCUACGGGAGGCAGCAGUGGGGAAUAUUGCACAAUGGGCGAAAGCCUGAUGCAGCAACGCCGCGUGAGG